This 225-nucleotide ribosomal RNA is filed under the name uncultured bacterium. RNAcentral's name for it is "partial 16S ribosomal RNA". It matches the Rfam family "Bacterial small subunit ribosomal RNA", at positions 524 to 748 of the family's 1533-position model. The record is from RNAcentral.
CACGUAGGGCGCAAGCGUUGUCCGGAAUUAUUGGGCGUAAAGAGCUCGUAGGUGGUUUGUUACGUCUGCUGUGAAAACCUAGGGCUUAACCCCGGGCGUGCAGUGGAUACGGGCAGGCUGGAGGCAGGCAGGGGAGAACGGAAUUCCCGGUAUAGCGGUGAAAUGCGCAGAUAUCGGGAGGAACACCGGUGGCGAAGGCGGUUCUCUGGGCCUGUACUGACGCUG